CGGAUCUUCAUUAGCUUGCUUUUGAAGAUCAGCGGCGGACGGGUGAGUAACACGUGGGCAACCUGCCUGUAAGACUGGGAUAACUUCGGGAAACCGGAGCUAAUACCGGAUAAUCCUUUCCCUCACAUGAGGGAAAGCUGAAAGACGGUUUCGGCUGUCACUUACAGAUGGGCCCGCGGCGCAUUAGCUAGUUGGUGAGGUAACGGCUCACCAAGGCAACGAUGCGUAGCCGACCUGAGAGGGUGAUCGGCCACACUGGGACUGAGACACGGCCCAGACUCCUACGGGAGGCAGCAGUAGGGAAUCUUCCGCAAUGGACGAAAGUCUGACGGAGCAACGCCGCGUGAACGAUGAAGGCUUUCGGGUCGUAAAGUUCUGUUGUCAGGGAAGAACAAGUACCGGAGUAACUGCCGGUACCUUGACGGUACCUGACCAGAAAGCCACGGCUAACUACGUGCCAGCAGCCGCGGUAAUACGUAUGUGGCAAGCG
Molecule: ribosomal RNA, 490 nt
Filed under: Mesobacillus boroniphilus
Lineage: Bacteria; Bacillati; Bacillota; Bacilli; Caryophanales; Bacillaceae
Description: bacterial SSU rRNA
Rfam family: Bacterial small subunit ribosomal RNA
Source: RNAcentral